UGGAUGGAGGAAUAAGUCCUGCUGAGCAGGGGGAAGCCAGGCAGAUGCCGCUGUGCCUGUAAGUUUCUGCCAGAGCUGUAGCCAGAGAGCAGAGGGG
This is a long non-coding RNA of Gavialis gangeticus (Gharial), 97 nucleotides long. RefSeq lists it as uncharacterized. The transcript is spliced from 3 exons. The record is from RefSeq and is a predicted model, not a curated record. NCBI's taxonomy places the organism in Eukaryota, Metazoa, Chordata, Crocodylia, Gavialidae.